Molecule: long non-coding RNA, 618 nt
Organism: Sorghum bicolor (sorghum)
Lineage: Eukaryota; Viridiplantae; Streptophyta; Magnoliopsida; Poales; Poaceae
Exons: 4
Source: RefSeq, a predicted model, not a curated record
GGGACUGAUGCCUGGGGACGCCGUCACAGCUAGAUCGGCUAAGAGUUCAAGUCACAGUCUCUAGCUGUGAUAUGGCCUGUCAAAACAUCGAAGUUAUCUUCUACAUGAAUCAUCCAUGAUGCAUCGCUUCUCUGACUGAAACAACUAGGUUCCUGAAGGUAUGUUCUGGUGAAUGUUGUUGUGUUCAGGAAGACAUUUUCAUAUGCUGGAUUUGAGCAACAGCCAAAUAAUAAGUUCCUGCAUCCGGCGAUUCUUUUAUUAACAUUGAACUAUAAUUGAAAUCUGAGAAGGAAAAUGCAGAGAUCAGGCUCCAUAUGUUUGAAACAUACCUCUGAGGCUCUGACCCCCUGCAAUGCCAAUCAAUUGUUGAUUCUAAACGGAACAUUAUUUAUUAUAAACUUGAUAAAUUUGUGAAAAGUGGAGCAAAGAUAGUUCUUUCUCAGGUAACUAUUGGUGAUCUUGUAACAUAGGUAGCCUGGUGUUUUUAUUUAACAGAAUAGCCUUCUGCUAUUCUGUGAUGUACUUCCGCAGCCUAUCUCAGAUAAUUUGGGUCUAUAUGGUAGUUUGGUGAUCGAGACAUUUUCUGCACUGGUCUUGUCUGAAUAAGAUUUGCUAAGU